AGUACAUUGCUGUAUUCCAAAGAUGUAGCUGAACAUGAAUAGAGACAUUUUAUCACAUUGGCAUAACAUUUUCUGCAGCAAUGCAAUGGUAAAACGCAAUUGUCUGUAUCUCCAAGGUACUAUGGUUUGGACCAAUAUGAAUUAAACAAGGAGUUUUAUCUUAAUUCAGAAGAAAAUACAUAUUGUGAAUGUAAUCUAUAUCACUGAUAUAAAAAGUUUAGCCAGACUGCCUUUUGAUAAAUAGUGG
Molecule: non-coding RNA, 247 nt
Organism: Pelobates cultripes (western spadefoot toad)
Lineage: Eukaryota; Metazoa; Chordata; Amphibia; Anura; Pelobatidae
Source: the annotation of a GenBank genome assembly